CACCUCUAGCAUUACUAGUAUUAGAGGCACUGCCUGCCCAGUGACACACGUUUAACGGCCGCGGUACCCUGACCGUGCAAAGGUAGCAUAAUCACUUGUUCUUUAAAUGGGGACUCGCAUGAAAGGCACCACGAGGGUUUAACUGUCUCUUACUUUUAACCAGUGAAAUUGACCUGCCCGCGAAGAGGCGGGCAUAAAAUAAUAAGACGAGAAGACCCUAUGGAGCUUUAAUCUAUUAAUGCAAUCAAAAACUACACAAACCCACGGACCUUUAAACUACCGACACCUGCAUUAAAAAUUUUGGUUGGGGCGACCUCGGAGCACAACAAAACCUCCGAAUAACACAUGCUAAGGCCACACAAGUCAAAGCGAACUAAUACUUACAAUUGAUCCAAUAAUUUGAUCAACGGAACAAGUUACCCUAGGGAUAACAGCGCAAUUCUAUUCUAGAGUCCAUAUCGACAAUAGAGCUUACGACCUCGAUGUUGGAUCAGGACAUCCUAAUGGUGCAGCAGCUAUCAAGGGUUCGUUUGUUCAACGAUUAAAGUCCU
Molecule: ribosomal RNA, 551 nt
Filed under: Macaca mulatta (Rhesus monkey)
Lineage: Eukaryota; Metazoa; Chordata; Mammalia; Primates; Cercopithecidae
Description: partial large subunit ribosomal RNA
Rfam family: Bacterial large subunit ribosomal RNA
Source: RNAcentral